GGGGGGCGGGGGGGGGGGGCGUGGGGCGGGCGGGGCGGCCGGGGGGGGGGUGCUGGGGUGGGGUGCUCGGGUGGCGCACGGGUGGGUGGGCCGUGAGUGACCUGGCCUUGACUUUGGGAUGACUUCUGGAAACUGGGGCUGAUACCGGCUCGGAGCUCCUGCUGCAUGGUGGGGGUUGGCAUGUUUAGGCGGUUGGGGAUGGCCUCGCGGGUUAUCCGCUUGUUGGUGGGGUCGUGGCUUGCCACGGCUUUGAAGGGGAGCCGGCCUGCGAGGGUGACCGGCCACAUGGGUACUGAGAGACGGCCCAGACUCCUACGGGAGGCAGCAGUGGGGAAUAUUGCACAAUGGGCGGAAGCCUGAGGCAGAAACGCCGCGUGCGGGAUGAAGGCCUUCGGGUUGUAAACCGCUUUCGCCUGUGACGAAGCGUGAGUGACGGUAAUGGGUAAAGAAGCACCGGCUAACUACGUG
RNAcentral lists this ribosomal RNA (468 nucleotides) under uncultured bacterium. RNAcentral describes it as "partial 16S ribosomal RNA". The stretch from base 58 to 468 matches the Rfam family "Bacterial small subunit ribosomal RNA", at positions 39 to 507 of the family's 1533-position model. The record is from RNAcentral.